CGGGGGGAGGAAUUGACUCGA
This 21-nucleotide microRNA is filed under the name Spodoptera frugiperda (fall armyworm). RNAcentral describes it as "sfr-miR-14-5p". Its record names the gene sfr-miR-14-5p. The record is from miRBase by way of RNAcentral. Lineage: Eukaryota; Metazoa; Arthropoda; Insecta; Lepidoptera; Noctuidae.